RNAcentral lists this ribosomal RNA (301 nucleotides) under uncultured bacterium. Its description in RNAcentral is "partial 16S ribosomal RNA". It matches the Rfam family "Bacterial small subunit ribosomal RNA", at positions 510 to 809 of the family's 1533-position model. The record is from RNAcentral.
AGCCGCCGCGGUAAUACGAAGGUCCCGAGCGUUGUUCGGAAUCACUGGGCGUAAAGGGAGCGUAGGCGGCGUGGUAAGUCAGAUGUGAAAUCCCGGGGCUCAACCCCGGAACUGCAUCCGAUACUGCCGUGCUAGAGGAUUGGAGAGGUAGCUGGAAUUCUUGGUGUAGCAGUGAAAUGCGUGGAGAUCAAGAGGAACACUCGUGGCGAAAGCGAGCUACUGGACAAUAUCUGACGCUGAGGCUCGAAGGCCAGGGUAGCGAAAGGGAUUAGAUACCCGCGUAGUCCCUGUCUCUUAUACA